Long non-coding RNA from Salvia splendens (bonfire salvia), 494 nucleotides. RefSeq lists it as uncharacterized. The record is from RefSeq and is a predicted model, not a curated record. Lineage: Eukaryota; Viridiplantae; Streptophyta; Magnoliopsida; Lamiales; Lamiaceae. The transcript is spliced from 4 exons.
CCCACCCACAAAUUUCUCUCCAACAAACAAAUCUAAUCUCUGCAUUAUAUAUCUCUCCCCACAACUGCAUCUUUUAUCAGCGGCGUUUCAUAAUUUCAGCACAGUUUCUUCCCUUCCAAUCAAAGUUUGAAACCAAGGAGAGCUGUGAUUUCAAUUUCCCUUGUUUGCUAGUAAACUUUGUCUUCCUUGAGGGUGAACUUGUGCACGUUGUUGCGGUUGGAACAAGAAAGUGUUGAGGAGUUAAGCAUUUGAGAUUGAGCGGCGAUGGACGUGGAGGAUGUUGAGCAGAGUUCAUGGAUCGUUUUGUCAUGAUUAAUAAUUGUUGGAUUCGUCGUGUCUUCAUACUCGGCAUUUUCCGUGUCUUGAACGCUUCCGCUAAGAGUCCUUUUCUUUAGAAUUGUUUAUCCGUGGAGAGUCUAACUCGUUGGCAAAUUGUUUUUGUCCAUUCUUUAUUUACUUAGAGUUGGUAUUAUUGUUAGGAAAUUAUUAUGACG